RNAcentral lists this ribosomal RNA (301 nucleotides) under uncultured bacterium. Its description in RNAcentral is "partial 16S ribosomal RNA". It matches the Rfam family "Bacterial small subunit ribosomal RNA", at positions 509 to 807 of the family's 1533-position model. The record is from RNAcentral.
CAGUAGCCGCGGGAAUACAGAGGGUGCAAGCGUUAAUCGGAAUUACUGGGCGUAAAGCGCGCGUAGGUGGUUCGCCAAGUUGGAUGUGAAAUCCCCGGGCUCAACCUGGGAACUGCAUCCAAAACUGGCGAGCUAGAGUAUGGUAGAGGGUGGUGGAAUUUCCUGUGUAGCGGUGAAAUGCGUAGAUAUAGGAAGGAACAUCAGUGGCGAAGACGACCACCUGGACUGAUACUGACACUGAGGUGCGAAAGCGUGGGGAGCAAACAGGAUUAGAUACCCCAGUAGUCCCUGUCUCUUAUAC